This 669-nucleotide long non-coding RNA is filed under the name Mus pahari (shrew mouse). Its description in RNAcentral is "lncRNA (MGP_PahariEiJ_G0005091.1)". The record is from RNAcentral. Lineage: Eukaryota; Metazoa; Chordata; Mammalia; Rodentia; Muridae.
GAAGCAAUCAAGUGACCUUCUGUGCUGCACAGUGAUGUUUUGGUGCUGGGAUUAAAGAAAUGUGCCACCAUACCCAGCCUCAAGACUUUUUUGAAGUAAAAGCAUAUUGCAAGGGCAAACCCAUGGCCAGCCUGUGGAGACCUUGCUGCUUGUGCGGCCCUGGGACACUGGGUCUCAUAAUUGCUGGGAUUCCAGGCAUGCGUCCCAUCAUUCAUUUGUGCAGCACUAGGGACAGAAUCCAGGGCUUCGAGCUUGCGAGGCAAGUGCUCUACACAGCUGAGCCACAUCCAUAGCCCCCCCCCCCCCCCGAGUGAAAGCCCAUCCCCUGGAUCCUGCUGGAAUUCAGGGAAUUCCUGUCCUGCUCAUGGUGUGGAUGGGAAGGUGAUGGAAGGUUCUAUCCUAAGAACUGCAGUCAAUGUAGCAAGGGCUUUGACUGAAGAUUAUAGAAGCUGAAUUUCUCAAUGCUGGGUCUCACACUGGUAAAGACAACAUUCACAAGUAUAAAGUUGGGGACCCUCAGAUCUGAUUCUACAGGAGCUCACCAUCCAUUAGCGUUGUGACUUUAGACCAGUGGCUUGGUCCCUUUGAGUCCCAUCAGUUUCCUUGUCCCUACCCCACUUGGCUUGGAGGAACAAGUGGGUGAUGGUAAUUAAGGCUCACAGCACUGAA